This 1559-nucleotide ribosomal RNA is filed under the name human gut metagenome. RNAcentral's name for it is "bacterial LSU rRNA". It matches the Rfam family "Bacterial large subunit ribosomal RNA", at positions 1347 to 2925 of the family's 2925-position model. The record is from RNAcentral.
AAGGUUUCCAGAGUAAAGCUGAUCUGCUCUGGGUAAGUCGGGGCCUAAGGCGAGGCUGAGAGGCGUAGUCGAUGGACAACAGGUUGAAAUUCCUGUACCAUGUAUCAUCAGAACUGUGGGGACACAGAAGGACAACACAUCCCGGGAAUGGGAAUACCGGGGCAAGCGAGGUAGGAGUACGGUUGGCAAAUCCGCCGUGCAAUCCGAAUACGUGACGCGGAGCGAACGAAAGUAGCGAAGUGUGUGAUUCCGGCUGUCAAGAAAAGCCGCUAUAGUGUGAUACAUGCCCGUACCGUAAACCGACACAGGUAGAUGAGGAGAGAAUCCUAAGGCCGGCGGGAGAAGCAUUGUUAAGGAACUCGGCAAAAUGACCCCGUAACUUCGGGAGAAGGGGUGCCACAGAGAUGUGGCCGCAGAGAAUAGGCUCAAGCAACUGUUUAGCAAAAACACAGGUCUAUGCAAAACCGUAAGGUGAGGUAUAUGGGCUGACGCCUGCCCGGUGCUGGAAGGUUAAGAGGAGAGGUUAGAGAAAUCGAAGCUUUGAAUUUAAGCCCCAGUAAACGGCGGCCGUAACUAUAACGGUCCUAAGGUAGCGAAAUUCCUUGUCGGGUAAGUUCCGACCCGCACGAAAGGCGUAAUGAUUUGAGCGCUGUCUCAACAAUGCACCCGGUGAAAUUGAAAUACCAGUGAAGAUGCUGGUUACCUGCGCCAGGACGGAAAGACCCCAUGGAGCUUUACUCCAGUUUGAUACUGGGAUUCGGUAUUGCAUGUACAGGAUAGGUGGGAGGCUGAGAAGCAUGGACGCCAGUCUGUGUGGAGCCAAUGUUGGGAUACCACCCUUGCGAUAUUGGGUUUCUAACCUGCGCCCGUGAGCCGGGCGGGGGACAAUGUCAGGCGGGGAGUUUGACUGGGGCGGUCGCCUCCGAAAGGGUAUCGGAGGCGCUCAAAGGUUCCCUCAGGAUGGUUGGAAACCAUCCAAAGAGUGCAAAGGCAUAAGGGAGCUUGACUGCGACACCGACGGGUGGAGCAGGUACGAAAGUAGGACUUAGUGAUCCGGUGGUAUGAAAGUGGGAUUGCCAUCGCUCAACGGAUAAAAGCUACCCUGGGGAUAACAGGCUUAUCACUCCCAAGAGUUCACAUCGACGGAGUGGUUUGGCACCUCGAUGUCGGCUCAUCGCAUCCUGGGGCUGUAGCAGGUCCCAAGGGUUGGGCUGUUCGCCCAUUAAAGCGGUACGCGAGCUGGGUUCAGAACGUCGUGAGACAGUUCGGUCCCUAUCCGGCGCGGGCGCAGGAUAUCUGAGAGGAGCUGUCCUUAGUACGAGAGGACCGGGAUGGACAGACCGCUGGUGUACCUGUUGGCCUACCAAGGCCAUGGCAGGGUAGCCAAGUCUGGACGGGAUAAACGCUGAAGGCAUCUAAGCGUGAAGCCCCCCUCAAGAUGAGAUAUCCCAUCGCGAAAGCGAGUAAGACCCCUUGAAGACGACGAGGUAGAUAGGUUAGAGGUGGAAGUGCAGUAAUGUACGGAGCUGACUAAUACUAAUCGGUCGAGGGCUUAUCCA